RNAcentral lists this long non-coding RNA (226 nucleotides) under Fukomys damarensis (Damara mole-rat). RNAcentral's name for it is "lncRNA (ENSFDAG00000026751.1)". Lineage: Eukaryota; Metazoa; Chordata; Mammalia; Rodentia; Bathyergidae. The record is from RNAcentral.
AGCAGAGUGGACUCUCCCCAGACACUGAGCCAACCUUGCCUCCGGCCUGCCUGCAAGAAAGAAAAUUUCUCUUGUUUAUAAGCUAUUGUAUUUUAUUUUAACAGCUCAAACAGACUACGACAAGUAAUAUUAGCGAUCAGUCCUGGAACAGAGAUGCCACAAAUGUCAUAUUUCCAGAUGCGUACCACCCAGAAGGUAAGCGGAGCUGACAUAUAAUGCCAACUAU